This 1340-nucleotide long non-coding RNA is filed under the name Sorghum bicolor (sorghum). Its description in RNAcentral is "long non-coding RNA (SBIC_LNC008866)". The record is from RNAcentral. Lineage: Eukaryota; Viridiplantae; Streptophyta; Magnoliopsida; Poales; Poaceae.
UAGCAGGGCUGUUGCUAGCAUAAAUACCCCCUAAGACUCAUUGUAAUAAAAGACUUUGAGAAUUGAAAUACAUAACCCCUUUGUUCAGCUGCGUGCUAACAAAUUCAGAGAGUGAUCUCUACCCCUUUGCUCUUAUGUUUUCCUUCGCGGAGAUUACAGAAGCGGCCGCAUCAUCGGCACCCAAUCCGUGCUCCUGAUUCUCGAGUUCAGGUUGCGUAGGUUGGUUCUUUGAGAGUGUGGUUGGGCGAAUCCUUGGUUCAGGCUGCCGUAUAGAGACGGUGGUUGGCUCCUUGUGCGUGUCGUCAGGUUGCACUAGUUAUCCUCGCUGCUUGCAGCAAGUUAUCGGCUGAUCUUCAGCUAGUUAUCCAUCCUACGUCGUGAAGAUCGGGACAACGACCUCACCAUCUGGUAUCAAAGCUCAAGUUUCCACGGUAGGAUUUUUACCCUUAGCAACAUAUAUAUAUCUUGUUCGUCCUAUCCACCAAAAAGCCAUAAAAAAAAUUGCAUUAGCCCUUUGUUUCAGUCUGUUUUUCUUGUGAGUUUGGUUAAGUUUCAGUCCAUUAGAGUUUUGUUUAGUUGCUGAUCAUCAUAUCCUUUGUGUGUCCUUUGUGCCUCUUUUAUAUCUACAAAUCCCUAAAGAAAAUCUGAAACCGGUAUCAUCCUUCGCGUAAACUUUGAUCCUAUCAAGUUAGAACGCUGACGGUUGUGUCUUGUUUAAAAAAAAAGUGUGUGUAAGUGUUAUAUCUGCUCUUGUUCUUAGUUAUAAAAAAACAAAGUAUCAAAAAAAAGGAAAGUGAAAAAAAAGAGAGUUGAGGAAGAAAAGUUGUGAAGAUAGAGUAGAAAAUUCACUCUGUUUAUGUGCUCAAGUUCUGAAUUUUAUAUCAAGUCACACAAUCAGUCAUUAUCCAUCUUUGGUGCAAAAUUUUGCUUGGGUUUGAUUGCAACACUUGCAUCCUAGGCAUACUCCUUGUUUGCAUCAAAUCUGAAUUAUCUUUGCGCGUGUGUUUGAUCUAUUUACAUCACUCAUAUCUUGUGGUCAGCACUAGGCAUUGAACUUCUAGUUUGGAUUGUGGUUUAACUUUACAAUAUCAAGAAUUCAGACUGCAUUCCUUGUGAAAUAUAUCCCCACCAAGCUCCACAAAUAACCCACCGUCAUAGGAAAAUACUGAUCUUGGAUUCUCCCAACCAUCAUUCUCGGUUACCACCUCGCAUUGGCCGUUGUAAUCUGCGGGGAACUCACAUGAGCUUCGGUUGGUAAGAGAGGUGAGGUUGUGAGAUUCCACAUAUAAUUCCCUAUUCUACAUAUAUUGUUGCUUUGCCUUCACUAAUUUUUUACAGCA